RNAcentral lists this ribosomal RNA (852 nucleotides) under Triticum aestivum (bread wheat). Its description in RNAcentral is "partial small subunit ribosomal RNA". The record is from RNAcentral. Lineage: Eukaryota; Viridiplantae; Streptophyta; Magnoliopsida; Poales; Poaceae.
AUGGCAACGUAUGAUGACUUGAGUGACUUUUGCCACCAUAUUGAGAGUGAGAGUGACUUCACCACUAGCCCCAUAUAUGAUGAGCUGCCCCAAUUCCCAUGUGAGGAGAGCCACCACCACCACCACUUGAGUGAUUUGAGUGACUCCACCAUAUGCGACAUUGAGUGCACCUACCUUGAGGGAGUGAGUGAGCCACCGCCACAUAGAGAGAGUGAGGUAGUUGAUGAGGCAUAUGCGGCCAUUUUGCUUUCUAACAACUUAACCUCUACCUCUAUUGUGUCUUCUCCUUUGGUGCUAGGUCCCAUAUAUGAUGACGCACCGAUCCUCGACGACUCCGUCCUUCCUUUGGACAUGACGAUGGCCAUGGUGGACUAUGAUGCACCCCCCACAUGGUUCCAUCCCGAUGACGACGAUGACCACCAUUUGGUCUUUCCCACCUCACCUACACCACUUGAGUGGAACAACAACAGUAACAUAGGUGAAGGUGAUGCUCUUGUCCCACUAGUGGACGUUCUUGAUAUUGAUUGCUUGCAUGAUGUUCAUCCACCUAUUAUCAUGCUUCAUGCUAGUAUGAUUUCCCCAUGCGAUGAUUUCCCCAUUUAUGACGAGUUUGAUGAUUGUCAUGAGGAGUCUAGUAGUUGUGAUGCCAUGUUACAUAGGAUUUCUUGUGAUAAUUCUCUUGGUCACAUCAUGUUUGACAAUCCGCUUGCCUUGUCAUAUGCUAUGCAUGAGAUCAAUGAUAUGUCUUAUUCGCAAUCUCAUCGUAGUGACUAUGCAUAUGCCAUUAAAAUAAACUCGAUUUGCACAUAUGGCAUAGAUGACAAGCCCAUGGUUAUUGGCAUUUUUUUGUGA